CGGAGGAUCCAAGCGUUAUCCGGAAUCAUUGGGUUUAAAGGGCCGUAGGCGGUCUUGUAAGUCAGUGGUGAAAGCCCAUCGCUCAACGGUGGAACGGCCAUUGAUACUGCAGGACUUGAAUUAUUGGGAAGUAACUAGAAUAUGUAGUGUAGCGGUGAAAUGCUUAGAGAUUACAUGGAAUACCAAUUGCGAAGGCAGGUUACUACCAAUUGAUUGACGCUGAUGGACGAAAGCGUGGGUAGCGAACAGGAUUAGAUACCCUGGUAGUCCACGCCGUAAACGAUGGAUACUAGCUGUUGGGAGCAAUUUCAGUGGCUAAGCGAAAGUGAUAAGUAUCCCACCUGGGGAGUACGAACGCAAGUUUG
RNAcentral lists this ribosomal RNA (365 nucleotides) under uncultured organism. RNAcentral's name for it is "bacterial SSU rRNA". It matches the Rfam family "Bacterial small subunit ribosomal RNA", at positions 526 to 896 of the family's 1533-position model. The record is from RNAcentral.